AACGAACGCUGGCGGCAGGCCUAACACAUGCAAGUCGAGCGGACCUUUCGGGGUCAGCGGCGGACGGGUGAGUAACGCGUGGGAAUAUGCCCUUCUCUACGGAAUAGUCCUGGGAAACUGGGGGUAAUACCGUAUACGCCCUUUGGGGGAAAGAUUUAUCGGGGAAGGAUUAGCCCGCGUUGGAUUAGGUAGUUGGUGGGGUAAUGGCCUACCAAGCCGACGAUCCAUAGCUGGUUUGAGAGGAUGAUCAGCCACUGGGACUGAGACACGGCCCAGACUCCUACGGGAGGCAGCAGUGGGGAAUCUUAGACAAUGGGGGCAACCCUGAUCUAGCCAUGCCGCGUGAGUGAUGAAGGCCUUAGGGUUGUAAAGCUCUUUCAGCUGGGAAGAUAAUGACGGUACCAGCAGAAGAAGCCCCGGCUAACUCCGUG
This 431-nucleotide ribosomal RNA is filed under the name uncultured bacterium. RNAcentral's name for it is "partial 16S ribosomal RNA". It matches the Rfam family "Bacterial small subunit ribosomal RNA", at positions 29 to 507 of the family's 1533-position model. The record is from RNAcentral.